CCUACGGGUGGCAGCAGUGAGGAAUAUUGGUCAAUGGGCGCAAUCCUGAACCAGCCAUGCCGCGUGCAGGACGACGGCUCUACGAGUUGUAAACUGCUUUUGUACCGGGGUAAACUCCCUUACGUGUAUCGUGUUGAAAGUACGGUACGAAUAAGGAUCGGCUAACUCCGUGCCAGCAGCCGCGGUAAUACGGAGGAUCCGAGUGUUAUCCGGAUUGAUUGGGUUUAAAGGGUGCGUAGGUGGUUUGAUAAGUUAGCGGUGAAAUGUCGAGGCUCAACAUCGGAGCUGCCGCUAAUACUGUUGGACUAGAGAUUGGAUGCGGCAGGCGGAAUGUGUAGUGUAGCGGUGAAAUGCAUAGAUAUCAUACAGAACACCGAUUGCGAAGGCAGCUUACCAAGCUGGAUCUGACAUUGAGGCACGAAAGCGUGGGGAGCGAACAGGAUUAGAUACCCCAGUAGUC
Molecule: ribosomal RNA, 460 nt
Filed under: uncultured bacterium
Lineage: Bacteria
Description: partial 16S ribosomal RNA
Rfam family: Bacterial small subunit ribosomal RNA
Source: RNAcentral